UUGAGUUUUUGCGUUUUGGUCCCCGAAACUCUCUCUUCUCUCUCCUCUCCCCCGUGGUUUUCUUCGUUUUCUGGGCUCUCCUUUGUCCGGCCAUAUCUCCCUCCACAGACCUCCGAUCGACUUGAUUCCAAAAGAAUUUUCAUUCACCUUGAAGUUAAUUAAAACUUCCUAGAAGACAUCAAAGUGAAAAAAGAACCGUGGAAGGCGCUAGGAGGCCGAGAAGCGGCACAGCUCGAGCUGGAAUUCGCACGAGCUGCUCUUCAUUCACCGGCCGAUAUCUCUCUCAUCCGACCUCUAAUCUAGUUGAUUCCAAGGUGAUUUUUCUGGGCUUGAGCUAGAUUACAACUUUGUAGAAGAGAUCGAGGGGAAAUAACCAACGUGGUAGCCGCUACAAGUCGAAGAACACGGUGCAGUCGAGCUGGAAAUCACCUCCUUUCCCCACAGUCGUUCUUCCUCCUCCGGCCACCUUUUGCCUUGAUUCUUGAGGGGAUUCUGCACUUCUGAGGAUGUAGAUCAUUUUACCUAAGGUGCAUUGCAUCGAUUUCAUCUGUGGAGAUCGAAUUGGAACGAAUUCAAAACUAGGGUUCUUCGGGUUUCAAACCUUGCGAGGUACUUGACGGUUUGAGUUGACGAGCGUUUGGAAUAUUGUUAUAUUUGACUUUUUAGAAGACGCAGCUGGAUUAGAGCGGGUAAUCUCACAGGUCAGGAGAAUCAGGGCAGUGAUCGUGCGGUUUAGAGUAGUAGUAUUAGAUUUGCAGCAUUUGUUUUUGUGAGGAGAAUUAUACUCACUUUAGCUUUACAAUUUGAUUUGGUGAGAGUGUGCUGUAAUAAGUAGCUUGAGGAUUUGGUUUAUGUAAUAUCAAGAGGUGU
Molecule: long non-coding RNA, 870 nt
Organism: Rosa chinensis
Lineage: Eukaryota; Viridiplantae; Streptophyta; Magnoliopsida; Rosales; Rosaceae
Exons: 3
Source: RefSeq, a predicted model, not a curated record